GACGAACGCUGGCGGCGUGCUUAACACAUGCAAGUCGAACGGAAAGGCCCCUUUGGGGGUACUCGCGUGGCGAACGGACGAGUAAGACGUGCGUAACUUGCCUUUGACUUCCUGUUAAAUUCCGGCAACUAGGGCUAAUACCGGCUAGGAAUCCUUGCCGCCUGGAUGGGGUGGGAAAGCUUGGGCGGUUUGGGGUGGAUGUGCGGCUUAUUAGCUUGUUGGUUGGGUAGUGGGUUGCCAAGGCUUUGACGGGUAGGCGGCCCGGGAGGGGGAACGGCCACAUUGGGAAUGGGGAACGGGCCAGACUCCUACGGGAGGCAGGAGGGGGGAAUAAUGCACAAUGGGCGGGAGCCUGAUGCAGCAACGCCGCGUGCGGGAUGAAGGGCUUUGGGUUGUAAACCGGUUUCAGCAGGGGAGAAGCUGGUGGUGACGGUACCGGCAGAAGAAGCACCGGCUAACUACGUG
This 465-nucleotide ribosomal RNA is filed under the name uncultured bacterium. Its description in RNAcentral is "partial 16S ribosomal RNA". It matches the Rfam family "Bacterial small subunit ribosomal RNA", at positions 28 to 507 of the family's 1533-position model. The record is from RNAcentral.